GAUGAACGCUAGCGGCAGGCUUAACACAUGCAAGUCGUGGGGCAGCGCGGACUUCGGUCUGGCGGCGACCGGCAAACGGUGCGGAACACGUACGCAACCUCCCUCAGAGCGGGGAAUAGCCUCUCGAAAGAGAGAUUAAUACCCCAUAGUAUCUUGAAGACACAUGUCUAUGAGAUUAAAGCUUCGGCACUUUGAGAUGGGCGUGCGGCUGAUUAGGUAGUUGGUAGGGUAACGGCCUACCAAGCCGACGAUCAGUAGCUGAUGUGAGAGCAUGAUCAGCCACACGGGCACUGAGACACGGGCCCGACUCCUACGGGAGGCAGCAGUGAGGAAUAUUGGUCAAUGGAGGAAACUCUGAACCAGCCAUGCCGCGUGGAGGAUGAAGGUCCUCUGGAUUGUAAACUCCUUUUAUAAAAGAAGAAA
RNAcentral lists this ribosomal RNA (423 nucleotides) under uncultured bacterium. RNAcentral describes it as "bacterial SSU rRNA". It matches the Rfam family "Bacterial small subunit ribosomal RNA", at positions 28 to 450 of the family's 1533-position model. The record is from RNAcentral.